RNAcentral lists this transfer RNA (619 nucleotides) under Acinetobacter pittii. RNAcentral's name for it is "partial 16S-23S ribosomal RNA intergenic spacer". The stretch from base 60 to 133 matches the Rfam family "tRNA". Lineage: Bacteria; Pseudomonadati; Pseudomonadota; Gammaproteobacteria; Moraxellales; Moraxellaceae. The record is from RNAcentral.
ACGAAAGAUUGACGAUUGGUAAGAAUCCACAACAAGUUGUUCUUCAUAGAUGUAUCUGAGGGUCUGUAGCUCAGUUGGUUAGAGCACACGCUUGAUAAGCGUGGGGUCACAAGUUCAAGUCUUGUCAGACCCACCAUGACUUUGACUGGUUGAAGUUAUAGAUAAAAGAUACAUGACUGAUGAUGUAAGCUGGGGACUUAGCUUAGUUGGUAGAGCGCCUGCUUUGCACGCAGGAGGUCAGGAGUUCGACUCUCCUAGUCUCCACCAGAACUUAAGAGAAGUUCGGAUUACAGAAAUUAGUAAAUAGAGAUUUCGGUCUUGGUUUAUUAACUUCUGUGAUUUAAGUAUCACGGUAUUAAGCAUGACCUGACGAAGGCGUGUUUAUUCAUUAACAGAUUGGCAAAAUUGAGUCUGAAAUAAAUUGUUCACUCAAGAGUUUAGAUUAAGCAAUUAAUCUAGAUGAAUUGAGAACUAGCAAAUUAACUGAAUCAAGCGUUUUGGUAUAUGAAUUUAGAUUGAAGCUGUACAGUGUUUAAGUACACAGACAACAGAUAGUAGCGAUGAAGAAUCGCACGGACAACACUCACUUGUAGGUGUUGACGACUGUUUGGGGUUGUAU